This 443-nucleotide ribosomal RNA is filed under the name uncultured bacterium. Its description in RNAcentral is "bacterial SSU rRNA". It matches the Rfam family "Bacterial small subunit ribosomal RNA", at positions 958 to 1398 of the family's 1533-position model. The record is from RNAcentral.
AACGCGAAGAACCUUACCUACCCUUGACAUCCUGGGGAUCCUGCUGAGAGGCGGGAGUGCCGAAAGGAACCUGGAGACAGGUGCUGCAUGGCUGUCGUCAGCUCGUGUCGUGAGAUGUUGGGUUAAGUCCCGUAACGAGCGCAACCCUUGUCCUUCGUUGCUAACAGGUGAUGCUGAGAACUCGAAGGAGACUGCUGGUGAUAAACCGGAGGAAGGUGGGGAUGACGUCAAGUCAUCAUGGCCUUUAUGGGUAGGGCUACACACGUGCUACAAUGGGGUGGAGACAAAGGGAAGCGAACCUGCGAAGGGGAGCUAAUCCAUUAAAACACCUCGUAGUCCGGAUUGGAGUCUGCAACUCGACUCCAUGAAGUUGGAAUCGCUAGUAAUCGCGAAUCAGAAUGUCGCGGUGAAUACGUUCCCGGGCCUUGUACACACCGUAGUAC